GUUUGCCUGCCCUGUUUGUGUCGGGUGACAAAUGUUGAUCCGUUAAAUUGGAUCUUUAGGGAGCCGGUAUAAGGACAGUGGUGUGCAGGCCUCUUAAGUGAGGAAGCCUAAACUCCCUUCAAGGCGCCCACUUAGAAAAUUAAGGAUCUGAUUUUCAUCUGCACGGCAGGGUGGGUUUUUA
This 181-nucleotide non-coding RNA is filed under the name Nitrospirota bacterium. Its description in RNAcentral is "Nitrospirae bacterium 6S RNA". It matches the Rfam family "6S / SsrS RNA". From Rfam's summary of the family: E. coli 6S RNA was the first non coding RNA to be sequenced, but its function was unknown until recently. Lineage: Bacteria; Pseudomonadati; Nitrospirota. The record is from RNAcentral.